GUGUCAGCAGCCGCGGUAAUACGGAGGGGGCUAGCGUUGUUCGGAAUUACUGGGCGUAAAGCGCGCGUAGGCGGACUGGAAAGUUAGGGGUGAAAUCCCGGGGCUCAACCUCGGAACUGCCUUUAAAACUCCCGGUCUGGUGUUCGAGAGAGGUGAGUGGAAUUCCGAGUGUAGAGGUGAAAUUCGUAGAUAUUCGGAGGAACACCAGUGGCGAAGGCGGCUCACUGGCUCGAUACUGACGCUGAGGUGCGAAAGUGUGGGGAGCAAACAGGAUUAGAUACCCUGGUAGUCCACACCGUAAACGAUGAAUGCCAGACGUCGGGUAGCAUGCUAUUCGGUGUCACACCUAACGGAUUAAGCAUUCCGCCUGGGGAGUACGGCCGCAAGGUUAAAACUCAAAGGAAUUGGCGGGG
RNAcentral lists this ribosomal RNA (413 nucleotides) under uncultured prokaryote. Its description in RNAcentral is "bacterial SSU rRNA". It matches the Rfam family "Bacterial small subunit ribosomal RNA", at positions 505 to 918 of the family's 1533-position model. The record is from RNAcentral.